Non-coding RNA from Fusarium tricinctum, 102 nucleotides. NCBI's taxonomy places the organism in Eukaryota, Fungi, Ascomycota, Sordariomycetes, Hypocreales, Nectriaceae. The record is from the annotation of a GenBank genome assembly.
CCCGGUGUAGUAUAGUGGUCUAGUACCCCUGAGUGUACCCUUUCGAGGGAUACUUUGCUACAGAGUGGCCAGGCAACAUGGGUUCAAAUCCCGUCAUCGGGA